Molecule: ribosomal RNA, 639 nt
Filed under: uncultured Actinomycetes bacterium
Lineage: Bacteria; Bacillati; Actinomycetota; Actinomycetes
Description: bacterial SSU rRNA
Rfam family: Bacterial small subunit ribosomal RNA
Source: RNAcentral
CGCGGCCUAUCAGCUUGUUGGUGAGGUAACGGCUCACCAAGGCAUCGACGGGUAGCUGGUCUGAGAGGACGAUCAGCCACACUGGGACUGAGACACGGCCCAGACUCCUACGGGAGGCAGCAGUAGGGAAUCUUGCGCAAUGGGCGAAAGCCUGACGCAGCAACGCCGCGUGGGGGAUGAAUGCCUUCGGGUUGUAAACCCCUUUCAGCAGGGACGAAAAUGACGGUACCUGCAGAAGAAGCUCCGGCCAACUACGUGCCAGCAGCCGCGGUAAUACGUAGGGAGCGAGCGUUGUCCGGAAUUAUUGGGCGUAAAGAGCUCGUAGGCGGUUCAGUAAGUCGGGUGUGAAAACUCAAGGCUCAACCUUGAGACGCCACUCGAUACUGCUGUGACUUGAGUCCGGUAGAGGAGUGUGGAAUUCCUGGUGUAGCGGUGAAACGCGCAGAUAUCAGGAGGAACACCAGCGGCGAAGGCGGCACUCUGGGCCGGUACUGACGCUGAGGAGCGAAAGCAUGGGGAGCAAACAGGAUUAGAUACCCUGGUAGUCCAUGCCGUAAACGUUGGGCACUAGGUAUGGGAUCAUAUCAACGGAUUCCGUGCCGUAGCUAACGCAUUAAGUGCCCCGCCUGGGGAGUACGG